GACGAACGCUGGCGGCGUGCUUAACACAUGCAAGUCGAACGGUAAGGCCCUUCGGGGUACACGAGUGGCGAACGGGUGAGUAACACGUGGGUGAUCUGCCCUGCACUUCGGGAUAAGCCUGGGAAACUGGGUCUAAUACCGGAUAGGACCACUGCCUGCAUGGGUGGUGGUGGAAAGCUUUUGCGGUGUGGGAUGGGCCCGCGGCCUAUCAGCUUGUUGGUGGGGUAAUGGCCUACCAAGGCGACGACGGGUAGCCGGCCUGAGAGGGUGACCGGCCACACUGGGACUGAGAUACGGCCCAGAAUCCUACGGGAGGCAGCAGGGGGGAAUAUUGCGCAAUGGGCGCAAGCCUGAUGCAGCGAGGCCGCGUGAGGGAUGACGGCCUUCGGGUUGUAAACCUCUUUCAGUAGGGACGAAGCGCAAGUGACGGUACCUACAGAAGAAGGACCGGCCAACUACGUGCCAGCCGCCGCCGUAA
Molecule: ribosomal RNA, 478 nt
Filed under: uncultured bacterium
Lineage: Bacteria
Description: partial 16S ribosomal RNA
Rfam family: Bacterial small subunit ribosomal RNA
Source: RNAcentral